Long non-coding RNA from Ipomoea triloba (trilobed morning glory), 889 nucleotides. RefSeq lists it as uncharacterized. The record is from RefSeq and is a predicted model, not a curated record. NCBI's taxonomy places the organism in Eukaryota, Viridiplantae, Streptophyta, Magnoliopsida, Solanales, Convolvulaceae. The transcript has 2 exons.
AGGCUGUCAUACCCACAAGUCAAAAUCCCUAUCCCAAAAUCUCUACCCACAGAAGCGCUGGCAAGAUGAGGAGGACAGCCACGGCAAGAAAAUGAAGAAGACGGCGAUGGCGAAGAAGAUGAGGAAGACGCUGAUUGUGAAGAAAAUGAAGCAUCCGGCGGUGGCGAUGGAGAUGAGAAGAAGACGGCAAAUGGCGAAGGAGAGAUGAAGAAGACGAUGAUGGGAAAAAUGUUGUCAACCAGCUAAUUUUGGUCAAAUCAGCCAAUUUUUGGUUGAUAAGCUAGUAACCAAACACCCCCUAUAUCAAAUCCGAAAGCAAAGGAACGUUUCAAGGCAUGCUUGGAGUCAAAAUGAAUGAAGAAUGCUGAUUUUGAGAGCUGGACGCGUUCGGAAUCUGCCCCGUCGCGACAAAAAUUUCCAGUACGCAAGCCCCAAGGCUCGACGCGUCGAGAAUCCUGCGACAACACAAAUUUCAGCUCUACGGAAUUGCCUAUUUUGCCCCUAUUUUUGCUCCCACUAUAAAAGGUUCAUUUUCCCAAAACCCUAGGAGCUAAGCUGCCUUUUUGAGGCAAAAAGGAGUGAGUGUAAGGGUGUUGUCUCUUCAAUGGAGUAAAGGAGGGAUUCACCACUUUUGGGAAGAAGAUUGUCACCUCAAGGAGCUAUAAAGGCUUUGGGAGGAAGAAGGAAAGCUACAUUUGGGAGAAUUUCUUUUCCUUUCCUUUACUUUCUUAGUCUUUGUAAACUCUUUAACAUUGGAGCUUUAAAUUCAAUACUAGUCAUGAUUGGCUAAAGUAACUUUGGGAUUUUUUGGUGAAAGGUGUUUAUGAACCCUAUUUUGCCUUGUUCUUUAUGUUCUAAUGUUAUAUUUACAUUUGGGUUUGAUGACUUA